AGAGUUUGAUCCUGGCUCAGGACGAACGCUGGCGGCACGCCUAACACAUGCAAGUCGAGCGGAGAUUGAGAGCUUGCUCUCAUGAUCAGCGGCGGACGGGUGAGUAACACGUGAGCAACCUGCCUUUCACAGGGGGACGACAGUUGGAAACGACUGCUAAUACCGCAUAACAUUGCCAAACGGCAUCCUUUGGCAAUCGGAGGAGCAAUCCGCUGAAAGAUGGGCUCGCGUCUGAUUAAAUAGUUGGUGAGGUAACGGCCCACCCAGUCGACCAUCAGUAGCCGGACUGAGAGGUUGAUCGGCCACAUUGGGACUGACACACGGCCCACACUCCUACCGGAGGCAGCAGUGGGGGAUAUUGGACAAUGGGGGAAACCCUGAUCCAGCGAUGCCGCGUGAGGGAAGAAGGUUUUCGGAUUGUAAACCUCUGUGGACAGGGACGAUAAUGACGGUUCCUGUUUAGAAAGCCACGGCUAAUUACGUGCCAGCAGCCGCGGUAAUACGUAGGUGGCGAGCGUUGUCCGGAAUUUCUGGGUGUAAAGGGAGUGUAGGCGGGAAGGCAAUUCAGAAGUGAAAAUUAUGGGCUUAACCCAUAACCUGCUUUUGAAACUGUUUUUCUUGAGUGAGGCAGAGGCAAGCGGAAUUCCUAGUGUAGCGGUGAAAUGCGUAGAUAUUAGGAGGAACACCAGUGGGGAAGGCGGCUUGCUGGGCCUUUACUGACGCUGAGGCUCGAAAGCGUGGGGAGCAACCGGAAUAGGUUCCCCUGGUGGUCCCCCCGGUAACCGUUGCAUACAAGAGGUCGGGUAGCAUAGCUAUUCGGGGUCGUCGCACACGCAAUAAGUAUUCCACCUGGGGAGAACGUUCGCACGAAUGAAACUCAAAGGAAUUGACGGGGACCCGCACAAGCGGUGGAGCAUGUGGUUUAAUUUGAAGCAACGCGAAGAACCUUACCUGCUCUUGACAUCCCAUUCGAUAGAGGGUAAUGCCUCUAGCCCUUCGGGGGAAUGGAGACAGGUGGUGCAUGGUUGUCGUCAGCUCGUGUCGUGAGAUGUUGGGUUAAGUCCCGCACCGAGCGCAACCCUUAUUGUCAGUAGCCAGCAGGUGAAGCUGGGCACUCUGAUGAGACUGCCGGGGAUAACCCGGAGGAAGGUGGGGAUGACGUCAAAUCAUCAUGCCCCUUAUGAGCAGGGCUACACACGUGCUACAAUGGCGUAAACAGAGGGAAGCGAAGGAGUGAUCCGGAGCAAAUCUCAAAAAUAACGUCUCAGUUCGGAUUGUAGUCUGCAACUCGACUACAUGAAGCUGGAAUCGCUAGUAAUCGCAGAUCAGAAUGUUGCGGUGAAUACGUUCCCGGGUCUUGUACACACCGCCCGUCA
Molecule: ribosomal RNA, 1376 nt
Filed under: uncultured bacterium
Lineage: Bacteria
Description: bacterial SSU rRNA
Rfam family: Bacterial small subunit ribosomal RNA
Source: RNAcentral